GGGGAAUAUUGCACAAUGGGCGAAAGCCUGAUGCAGCAACGCCGCGUGAGUGAUGACGGUCUUCGGAUUGUAAAGCUCUGUCUUCAGGGACGAUAAUGACGGUACCUGAGGAGGAAGCCACGGCUAACUACGUGCCAGCAGCCGCGGUAAUACGUAGGUGGCAAGCGUUGUCCGGAUUUACUGGGCGUAAAGGGAGCGUAGGUGGAUAUUUAAGUGGGAUGUGAAAUACUCGGGCUUAACCUGGGGGCUGCAUUCCAAACUGGAUAUCUAGAGUGAAGGAGAGGAAAGUAGAAUUCCUAGUGUAGCGGUGAAAUGCGUAGAGAUUAGGAAGAAUACCAGUGGCGAAGGCGACUUUGUGGACUGUAACUGACACUGAGGCUCGAAAGCGUGGGGAGCAAAC
Molecule: ribosomal RNA, 400 nt
Filed under: uncultured bacterium
Lineage: Bacteria
Description: bacterial SSU rRNA
Rfam family: Bacterial small subunit ribosomal RNA
Source: RNAcentral